GUCCUCCCUCCAGAGAGUAGUAGUAGGUCCUCCCUCCAGACAGUAGCAGUAGAUCGUCCCUUCCUCCAGACAGUAGCAGUAGGUCCUCCCUCCAGACAGUAUCAGAAGGUCCUCCCUCCAGACAGUAGUAGUAGAUCCUCCCUCCAGACAGUAUUUGUAGGUCCUCCCUCCCUCCAAACAGUAUCUGUAGGUCCUCUCUCACUCAAAACAGAUUCUGUAGGUUGUCCCUCCCUCCAGACAGUAUCGGUAGGUCCUCUCUCCCUCCAGACAGUAGCAGUCCGUCCUCCCUCCCUCCCUCCAGAUAAUAGCAGUAGGUCCUCCCUCCUGACAGACAGGAUCAGUAGGUCCUCUCUCCCUCCAGACAGUAGCAGUCCGUCCUCCCUCCAUCCCUCCAGACAGGAUCAUAAGGUCCUCCCUCCCUCCCAUCAGACAGUGGCAGCAGGUCCUCCCUCCCUCCAGACAUUAUCAGUAGGUCCUCCCUCCCUCCAGACAUUAUCAGUAGGUCCUUCCUCCAGACAGUAGCAGUAGGUCCUCCCUCCAGACAUUAUCAGUAGGUCCUCCCUCCAGACAUUAUCAGUAGGUCCUCCCUCCAGACAUUAUCAGUAGGUCCUCCCUCCAGACAGUAGCAGUAGGUCCUCCCUCCAGACAGUAGCAGUAGAUCCUCCCUUCCUCCAGAAAGUAUCAGUAGGACCGAUAUUAGCAGUAGGUCCCCCCUCCCUACUUCCCUCCCUCCCUCGAGACAGUAGCAGUAGGUUCUCCCUCCCUCCAUCUCUCCUGUAGCAGUAGGUUCUCAUGUAAUCUCACACACACACACACACACACACACACACACAAACAGUGUAUUGAUAUGACUGUACAUCCAUGUAGUUAAUGGAAUUAACGUUCAGGAGACAUAGGCAGUGUAUUGACAUGAAGGCCUACCUUGUAAUUAUUGUAUAAAAGACAUGGGCAUGACUGGUGUCCUCUGCAGGUUAUAAAUCAAUAAAUCAUUCCCUCUGCUCAACCCCAGUCUGUUUUGUGCGGAUCUGUUAAACCUAUUAAAGUGAAAGACUGAUAGAGAGUAAGGCUUUCUGUGCUUUAAAAAGGCCUCUCACACGUACUGUACAUAUGAAAGCACAUCGGUCUGUGAGAAAAUAAUAGCAAAUUCUACGUAAGAACAAUUCAGUCAAUGCACAAAUAUAUACAGCUUUGGCUUGAACGAUCACCGCCUGUCUGCUCAAAAGUGAAUGAUAGGGUAAUUAAUACUCACAACAUAUUCAAACAUGAAUUAUACCCAUUCCCUAUUGCCCUUUUUCUGCUAACCAGAUGCAAAGCUCUGCUUGGUUAUAGUAAUCACAAUAACCACAAAAACCUGAGUCAAUACGUAUUAAUGAUAAACAGCCUCCCCCCUGACACUCUGUGUUGCUCUCUGUCUUGGUUAUGGCUGUAGCUCUGUCUCUGUUAUAGCUGUAGCUCUGUUUCUGUUAUAGCUGUAGCUCUGUCUUGGUUAUGACUGUAGCUCUGUCUCUGUUAUAGCUGUAGCUCUGUCUCUGUUAUAGCUGUAGCUCUGUUUCUGUUAUAGCUGUAGCUCUGUUUCUGUUAUAGCUGUAGCUCUGUCUCUGUUAUAGCUGUAGCUCUGUCUCUGUUAUAGCUGUAGCUCUGUUUCUGUUAUAGCUGUAGCUCUGUCUCUGUUGAAGCUGUAGCUCUGUCUUGGUUAUGGCUGUAGCUCUGUCUCUGUUAUAGCUGUAGCUCUGUUUCUGUUAUAGCUGUAGCUCUGUCUUGGUUAAAGCUGUAGCUCUGUCUCUGUUAUAGCUGUAGCUCUGUUUCUGUUAUAGCUGUAGCCCUGUCUCUGUUAUAGCUGUAGCUCUGUCUCUGUUAUAUCUGUAGCUCUGUUUCUGUUAUAGCUGUAGCUCUGUCUUGGUUAUGGCUGUAGCUCUGUCUCUGUUAUAGCUGUAGCUCUGUCUCUGUUAUAGCUGUAGCUCUGUUUCUGUUAUAGCUGUAGCUCUGUCUUGGUUGUGACUGUAGCUCUGUCUCUGUUAUAGCUGUAGCUCUGUUUCUGUUAUAGCUGUAGCUCUGUCUUGGUUAUGACUGUAGCUCUGUCUCUGUUAUAGCUGUAGCUCUGUUUCUGUUAUAGCUGUAGCCCUGUCUCUGUUAUAGCUGUAGCUCUGUCUCUGUUAUAUCUGUAGCUCUGUUUCUGUUAUAGCUGUAGCUCUGUCUUGGUUAUGGCUGUAGCUCUGUCUCUGUUAUAGCUGUAGCUCUGUCUCUGUUAUAGCUGUAGCUCUGUUUCUGUUAUAGCUGUAGCUCUGUCUUGGUUGUGACUGUAGCUCUGUCUCUGUUAUAGCUGUAGCUCUGUUUCUGUUAUAGCUGUAGCUCUGUCUUGGUUAUGACUGUAGCUCUGUCUCUGUUAUAGCUGUAGCUCUGUUUCUGUUAUAGCUGUAGCCCUGUCUCUGUUAUAGCUGUAGCUCUGUCUCUGUUAUAGCUGUAGCUCUGUCUCUGUUAUAGCUGUAGCUCUGUUUCUGUUAUAGCUGUAGCUCUGUCUCUGUUGAAGCUGUAGCUCUGUCUUGGUUAUAGCUGUAGCUCUGUCUCUGUUAUAGCUGUAGCUCUGUUUCUGUUAUAGCUGUAGCUCUGUCUUGGUUAUGGCUGUAGCUCUGUCUCUGUUAUAGCUGUAGCUCUGUUUCUGUUAUAGCUGUAGCUCUGUCUUGGUUGUGACUGUAGCUCUGUCUCUGUUAUAGCUGUAGCUCUGUUUCUGUUAUAGCUGUAGCUCUGUCUUGGUUAUGACUGUAGCUCUGUCUCUGUUAUAGCUGUAGCUCUGUUUCUGUUAUAGCUGUAGCCCUGUCUCUGUUAUAGCUGUAACUCUGUCUCUGUUAUAGCUGUAGCUCUGUUUCUGUUAUAGCUGUAGCUCUGUUUCUGUUAUAGCUGUAGCUCUGUCUCUGUUAUAGCUGUAGCUCUGUUUCUGUUAUAGCUGUAGCCCUGUCUCUGUUAUAGCUGUAGCUCUGUCUCUGUUAUAGCUGUAGCUCUGUCUCUGUUAUAGCUGUAGCUCUGUUUCUGUUAUAGCUGUAGCUCUGUCUCUGUUGAAGCUGUAGCUCUGUCUUGGUUAUAGCUGUAGCUCUGUCUCUGUUAUAGCUGUAGCUCUGUUUCUGUUAUAGCUGUAGCUCUGUCUUGGUUAUGGCUGUAGCUCUGUCUCUGUUAUAGCUGUAGCUCUGUUUCUGUUAUAGCUGUAGCUCUGUCUUGGUUGUGACUGUAGCUCUGUCUCUGUUAUAGCUGUAGCUCUGUUUCUGUUAUAGCUGUAGCUCUGUCUUGGUUAUGACUGUAGCUCUGUCUCUGUUAUAGCUGUAGCUCUGUUUCUGUUAUAGUUGUAGCCCUGUCUCUGUUAUAGCUGUAGCUCUGUCUCUGUUAUAGCUGUAGCUCUGUCUCUGUUAUAGCUGUAGCUCUGUUUCUGUUAUAGCUGUAGCUCUGUCUCUGUUGAAGCUGUAGCUCUGUCUUGGUUAUAGCUGUAGCUCUGUCUCUGUUAUAGCUGUAGCUCUGUUUCUGUUAUAGCUGUAGCUCUGUCUUGGUUAUGGCUGUAGCUCUGUCUCUGUUAUAGCUGUAGCUCUGUUUCUGUUAUAGCUGUAGCUCUGUCUUGGUUAUGACUGUAGCUCUGUCUCUGUUAUAGCUGUAGCUCUGUUUCUGUUAUAGCUGUAGCCCUGUCUCUGUUAUAGCUGUAGCUCUGUCUCUGUUAUAGCUGUAGCUCUGUCUCUGUUAUAGCUGUAGCUCUGUUUCUGUUAUAGCUGUAGCUCUGUCUCUGUUGAAGCUGUAGCUCUGUCUUGGUUAUGGCUGUAGCUCUGUCUCUGUUAUAGCUGUAGCUCUGUUUCUGUUAUAGCUGUAGCUCUGUCUUGGUUAAAGCUGUAGCUCUGUCUCUGUUAUAGCUGUAGCUCUGUUUCUGUUAUAGCUGUAGCCCUGUCUCUGUUAUAGCUGUAGCUCUGUCUCUGUUAUAGCUGUAGCUCUGUCUCUGUUAUAGCUGUAGCUCUGUUUCUGUUAUAGCUGUAGCUCUGUUUCUGUUAUAGCUGUAGCUCUGUUUCUGUUAUAGCUGUAGCUCUGUCUCUGUUAUAUCUGUAGCUCUGUUUCUGUUAUAGCUGUAGCCCUGUCUCUGUUAUAGCUGUAGCUCUGUCUCUGUUAUAGCUGUAGCUCUGUCUCUGUUAUAGCUGUAGCUCUGUUUCUGUUAUAGCUGUAGCUCUGUCUCUGUUGAAGCUGUAGCUCUGUCUUGGUUAUAGCUGUAGCUCUGUCUCUGUUAUAGCUGUAGCUCUGUUUCUGUUAUAGCUGUAGCUCUGUCUUGGUUAUGGCUGUAGCUCUGUCUCUGUUAUAGCUGUAGCUCUGUUUCUGUUAUAGCUGUAGCUCUGUCUCUGUUAUAGCUGUAGCUCUGUUUCUGUUAUAGCUGUAGCCCUGUCUCUGUUAUAGCUGUAGCUCUGUCUCUGUCAUAGCUGUAGCUCUGUCUCUGUUAUAGCCGUAGCUCUGUUUCUGUUAUAGCUGUAGCUCUGUCUCUGUUGAAGCUGUAGCUCUGUUUAGGUUAUAGCUGUAGCUCUGUCUUGGUUAAAGCUGUAGCUCUGUCUCUGUUAUAGCUGUAGCUGUGUUUAGGUUAUAGCUGUAGCUCUGUCUUGGUUAAAGCUGUAGCUCUGUCUCUGUUAUAGCUGUAGCUCUGUCUCUGUUAUAGCUGUAGCUCUGUCUCUGUUAUAGCUGUAGCUCUGUCUCUGUUAAAGCUGUAGCUCUGUCUCUGUUAUAGCUGUAGCUCUGUCUUGGUUAAAGCUGUAGCUCUGUCUCGGUUAAAGCUGUAGCUCUGUCUCUGUUAUAGCUGUAGCUCUGUCUCUGUUAUAGCUGUAGCUCUGUCUCUGUUAAAGCUGUAGCUCUGUCUCUGUUAUAGCUGUAGCUCUGUCUAGGUUAUAGCUGUUGCUCUGUUUAGGUUAUAGCUGUCGUUGUCUCUGAUUGGGGAUCAUAUUUAGGUGUCAUUUGAAAUAAAAAUAAAGAAAAAUGUACGCCUACCACGCUGCACCUUGGUCUCCUUCCAACGACGGUCCACUCCUUAUGACGAACGUAACAGAAGAUCCCACCAGAAACGGACCAAGCAGCGUGGUCAGGAUU
This 5091-nucleotide long non-coding RNA is filed under the name Oncorhynchus mykiss (rainbow trout). Its description in RNAcentral is "lncRNA (ENSOMYG00000064420.1)". The record is from RNAcentral. Lineage: Eukaryota; Metazoa; Chordata; Actinopteri; Salmoniformes; Salmonidae.